Molecule: ribosomal RNA, 253 nt
Filed under: uncultured bacterium
Lineage: Bacteria
Description: partial 16S ribosomal RNA
Rfam family: Bacterial small subunit ribosomal RNA
Source: RNAcentral
GACGUAGGGGGCGAGCGUUGUCCGGAAUUAUUGGGCGUAAAGCGCGCGUAGGCGGCCCGCUAAGUCGAACGUGAAAUCCCCGAGCUCAACUCGGGAACUGCGUCCGAUACUGGCGGGCUUGAAUCCGGGAGAGGGAUGCGGAAUUCCAGGUGUAGCGGUGAAAUGCGUAGAUAUCUGGAGGAACACCGGUGGCGAAGGCGGCAUCCUGGACCGGCAUUGACGCUGAGGCGCGAAAGCGUGGGGAGCAAACAGG